GGGGGGGGGGGGGGGGUAAGUGUAAUGGCGGCUAGGGUUUAUGCACAGCGUAGCGCCCCCCUCUUUAAAUUCACACAAAACUCCAUCCCUCAACUUAACCUAAACUUCUACUACUGCGGCAAUACUCGUAAAUCGGAUUCAAUCUACACACUGGAGCCAAGUUCCUGCUUCAUAUCUGAUGUAAUUUCAUCGCCUCUGAAGCUCAAAAAUAUAUCAUCGACUACAUCGGUUCUUAAUCGUUUUGUUACAUGAUAUGUUUUUGAGUUUCGAGGCUAUGAUAUUGGUCAAUAAUCAUACUUCUUUCAGAUCUAACGGUUUCAUUAUCUGAAACUGCUGGUCACGUGGAUGAUACUAAUACGGAAACUCCGGCGUAUAGACAGAGAAACUUAAGUAUGUUGGUGUUUAAGCUGAUUUAAAAAGAAAUUUUUAUAAUUUUGUUUUGAAAAGAGUCUUUUUUUUAUAAUUCGGGAACCAAUGCAAAAGAAUAUCACACAUGAGAGAGGUUAAACACCGCGUCCUUUUUAUUUUUAAUAUUUAUUCGGGGAACCAGAUCAUAAUAAAAAAAAAAAGCUUUUUAUGAUAUUGAA
This is a long non-coding RNA of Helianthus annuus (common sunflower), 587 nucleotides long. RefSeq lists it as uncharacterized. The transcript is spliced from 2 exons. The record is from RefSeq and is a predicted model, not a curated record. Lineage: Eukaryota; Viridiplantae; Streptophyta; Magnoliopsida; Asterales; Asteraceae.